CGGGGGAGGCCGGAUCCUGGGCUGUGUCCCGGCGCCCUGUGCCCUGGUCUGCGCUGUUGGAUUUGAGCUCCGGCCCCGCAGCCCCCU
Molecule: non-coding RNA, 87 nt
Organism: Canis lupus familiaris (dog)
Lineage: Eukaryota; Metazoa; Chordata; Mammalia; Carnivora; Canidae
Source: Rfam